GAUUAGAGUUUGAUCAUGGCUCAGAUUGAACGCUGGCGGCAGGCCUAACACAUGCAAGUCGAGCGGAUGAAAGGGGCUUGCUCCUGGAUUCAGCGGCGGACGGGUGAGUAAUGCGCAGGGAUCUACCUAGUAGUGGGGGAUAACGUUUCGAAAGGGGCGCUAAUACCGCAUACGUUCUGAGGAAGAAAGCAGGGGAUCGUAAGACCUUGCGCUAUUAGAUGAGCUUGCGUCCGAUUAGCUAGUUGGUGGGGUAAAGGCCUACCAAGGCGACGAUCGGUAACUGGUCUGAGAGGAUGAUCAGUCACACUGGAACUGAGACACGGUCCAGACUCCUACGGGAGGCAGCAGUGGGGAAUAUUGGACAAUGGGGGCAACCCUGAUCCAGCCAUGCCGCGUGUGUGAAGAAGGCCCUCGGGUUGUAAAGCACUUUAAGCGGGGAGGAAGGCCUGAUGGUUAAUACCCAUUGGGAUUGACGUACCCGCAGAA
RNAcentral lists this ribosomal RNA (486 nucleotides) under uncultured bacterium. RNAcentral's name for it is "bacterial SSU rRNA". It matches the Rfam family "Bacterial small subunit ribosomal RNA", at positions 1 to 486 of the family's 1533-position model. The record is from RNAcentral.